UACGUAGGAUGCAAGCGUUGUCCGGAUUUACUGGGCGUAAAGCGCGCGCAGGCGGCACUCUAAGUACGUCGUGAAAUCUCUCGGCUCAACCGGGAGGGUGCGAAGUAGACUAGGGAGCUAGAGGUCGGUAGAGGGGGGUGGAAUUGCUGGUGUAGCGGUGAAAUGCGUAGAGAUCAGCAGGAACACCCGUGGCGAAGGCGGCCCCCUGGGCCGUACCUGACGCUGAGGCGCGAAGGCUAGGGGAGCGAACGGG
Molecule: ribosomal RNA, 253 nt
Filed under: uncultured bacterium
Lineage: Bacteria
Also listed under: 1 other name
Description: partial 16S ribosomal RNA
Rfam family: Bacterial small subunit ribosomal RNA
Source: RNAcentral